CAGCCGUAAACUAUGCGCGUUAGGUGUAUCGGUGACCACGAGUCACCGAGGUGCCGAAGGGAAACCGUGAAACGUGCCGCCUGGGAAGUACGGUCGCAAGGCUGAAACUUAAAGGAAUUGGCGGGGGAGCACCGCAACGGGAGGAGCAUGCGGUUUAAUUGGAUUCAACACCGUAAAACUCACCAGGGAAGGCUGUUACAUGAAGGCCGAGAUGAAGACUCUGCUAGAUUUUCAGAGAGGUGGUGCAUGGCGUCAGUGACU
This 261-nucleotide ribosomal RNA is filed under the name uncultured archaeon. RNAcentral describes it as "partial 16S ribosomal RNA". It matches the Rfam family "Archaeal small subunit ribosomal RNA", at positions 748 to 1008 of the family's 1478-position model. The record is from RNAcentral.